ACAACAUAUUUUUUUUUAAAUUUUCGAAUUUAAAUGAUCGGCGAUUGGAUCGUAGUAUUGAAUUAUAUUGACUGAAGCUCCAUUCAACGUCACAUGAUGUAGUUAGCGUAUAUUUAAAUUAAGAAAUUUGUCCUGGUGUUAAAUUACAGCUGAAAUUGUCCUCGUUUGAUUCGCCAUUUAAUAUUUUAUUUAUUGAUUGUAGAGUUUUAAAUCCUUUAUUUUUUUGUAAAACUAGAGAUAUUUUGUUUUCAAAUUUAUCUGCGACUCUUCCGUUGCACUCAAAAAGUCGAUUCCUAGCAUUUUUUAUAAUUUAUAGACUUUCAUGAAGUAUUUCUUUGUCAAACUAUUCAAUUUUUAUCGCAUACCUAUUGUACC
This 375-nucleotide long non-coding RNA is filed under the name Cinara cedri. Lineage: Eukaryota; Metazoa; Arthropoda; Insecta; Hemiptera; Aphididae. The record is from RNAcentral.